CAUUUGCCAAGUAUGUUCCCGUUAAUCAAGAACGAAAGUUAGAGGUUCGAAGGCGAUCAGAUACCGCCCUAGUUCUAACCAUAAACGAUGCCAGCCAGCGAUCCGCCGAAGUUCCUCCGAUGACUCGGCGGGCAGCUUCCGGGAAACCAAAGCUUUUGGGUUCCGGGGGAAGUAUGGUUGCAAAGCUGAAACUUAAAGGAAUUGACGGAAGGGCACCACCAGGAGUGGAGCCUGCGGCUUAAUUUGACUCAACACGGGAAACCUCACCAGGCCCGGACACCGGAAGGAUUGACAGAUUGAGAGCUCUUUCUUGAUUCGGUGGGUGGUGGUGCAUGGCCGUUCUUAGUUGGUGGAGCGAUUUGUCUGGUUAAUUCCGGUAACGAACGAGACUCUAGCCUGCUAAAUAGACGAUUUCCGGUAUCCACAAUAGUGCUACCGGCGAAAUCAAUAUCUUCUUAGAGGGACAGGCGGCUUUCAGCCGCACGAAACUGAGCAAUAACAGGUCUGUGAUGCCCUUAGAUGUCCUGGGCCGCACGCGCGCUACACUGAAGGAAUCAGCGUGUCUACCCUGGCCGAAAGGCUCGGGCAACCCGUUGAACCUCCUUCGUGCUAGGGAUUGGGGCUUGCAAUUGUUCCCCAUGAACGAGGAAUUCCCAGUAAGCGCGAGUCAUAAGCUCGCGUUGAUUACGUCCCUGCCCUUUGUACACACCGCCCGUCGCUACUACCGAUUGAAUGAUUUAGUGAGGUCUUCGGACUGGUGCGCGGCGGCCGCCUGCGCGGGCGCCGAUGCCACCGGGAAGAUGACCGAACUUGAUCAUUUAGAGGAAGUA
Molecule: ribosomal RNA, 830 nt
Filed under: Venustria superba
Lineage: Eukaryota; Metazoa; Arthropoda; Insecta; Hemiptera; Cicadidae
Description: SSU rRNA
Rfam family: Eukaryotic small subunit ribosomal RNA
Source: RNAcentral